AUAUUGGACAAUGGGCGCAAGCCUGAUCCAGCCAUGCCGCGUGAGUGAGGAAGGUUUUCGGAUCGUAAAACUCUGUUGCCAGGGAAGAACGCCAGGGAGAGGCAAUGCUCUCUGGGUGACGGUACCUGAGAAGAAAGCCCCGGCUAACUACGUGCCAGCAGCCGCGGUAAUACGUAGGGGGCAAGCGUUGUCCGGAAUUAUUGGGCGUAAAGCGCGCACAGGCGGCGACUUAAGUCUGGUGUUUAAGCCCGGGGCUCAACCCCGGUACGCACUGGAAACUGGGUGGCUGGAGUGCAGGAGAGGGGAGUGGAAUUCCACGUGUAGCGGUGAAAUGCGUAGAGAUGUGGAGGAACACCAGUGGCGAAGGCGACUCUCUGGCCUGUAACUGACGCUGAGGCGCGAAAGCGUGGGGAGCAAACAGG
This 422-nucleotide ribosomal RNA is filed under the name uncultured bacterium. Its description in RNAcentral is "bacterial SSU rRNA". It matches the Rfam family "Bacterial small subunit ribosomal RNA", at positions 361 to 776 of the family's 1533-position model. The record is from RNAcentral.